CAGAAGCAAUAGAUUAUUAAUAUCAUAUCUAAUUCAUCACUAAUGUUUGUCAAACACUCUCUUUGAUAUCUAACAUCUAAUAUCGAUCUCAUAAUUUUAUAUUAAACCGAUCAAUUCUCGCUUAUCUCAGUAUUAAUAACUCUAUAUUAGACCAGCUUGCACUUCAUUAAUUUCACGACCAACGUACCGGGAACAUCAUCACGUUGUCGUCUGUCGUGUAAUCGUUGCCAGUGUAUCGUUAUCAGUGGACAAUUCGGAUCAAUAAAAUAGUCAUCUAUCCGGUCAGAUAACUUCAUGGAUGAUAGAGUGUUAAUUACAGGGGACACGAUAUGAAUUGUAUGCACAUAUAUCUACAUAUAAAAGAAAAAGAAAAAAAGAAAAUUUCACGAAACAUUAACGAGAAACAUUAGCAAGAGAUUGAUACAUGACGUGGAAUAUUAUGAAAGCGAAUAUUUUCGCAAUUUUUUUCCAGUAUUGCCUUUGUGAAACUUGAAUACGUUUGAAAUUCAUGAAUAAUCCUUUUGUAAGUUCGAGAUUAUUGUCUUGUAAAAAACGAUAAGCAGUAAGCAGUAAGUCAUUAUAUAAAUCUAUCCCAUUAUUAACGAUGAAAACAUUUUUACAAGAAAGAUUAAAAUUCCAAACUUACCUUACCAAAAAAGAAAUAUAAAUAUCGAUUACUCGAUUAUCCGAUAACUAACUAAAAUUACACCCGUUUAAGUAAUGUUAUUCGCGAAACGAAUAAUAAAACCUCGAUAAAAUACUGAAUUACGCCGAACGAUGAAAUUCUCGGAGGAAUGGAUAAAAACGAUAUCCGAUAUUAUUCAUAUGAAACGAUCGCUGCCAUGCCAAUACUUGGCCUAUGAAAAGAAAUAAUAUCGCUCCUGUCGGUGGCAUUUCUCCACGAAAGAUAGAAACAACGCGAACAGCUUUUGCCAAGAGGAAGGAAUAAGGUAAAUUUCGAGCCAAAAUUCGACGAAUCUGGAACAUUGCGAGAAGAGGAAGGGAAACGUCUCUUAGGCACCUUUGGCCAAGAGGAGAAGAAACUAUUAAUCCAUUUGCAGCGAUAUCAACGCAACGUGCCAGCUGUUUCUAAGCACGGAAAUAAUCCGUUGGUCGGUAUUAAGGUCUACGACGAUGCCAUAAACGAUGCUCUUUUUUCUUGGACGUUCAAUGUGUGCGCUUGUCUAUGUGCGCGGCGCGUGCAAUCUUCCACGUUUUAUACCGGAAUUCAUGAAAUUGGUUUGGUGCUAACAGUUAAAAAGGAAAUAUAGCGGAAGUGCUUGAACAGGAUAAUAUUAAAAUAUCGAGAUUGGAUUGUACUUGUGAAAAAUUUUUAAACGACCUCAAGGAAAACUUAUUUUCUAAAUUUUCUUUUUUGCACGAGAACAAAUAUUUCUUCAAUUAAUCAAUUCAACUUGUCGAUGAGAUCGAAAUAUUUUUUUUCAUCGUCGAAGAAAAUGUAAUACCUUUAAAAGUUCCAGUUGAACGAAAUUUCUCUCGUUUCUCUUCGUCUCGCAACAUCCUUUUAAGAACCUCGCUCUACAAUCUCUCGAGGCCUAAUUGUCGUCUUAGCAUUAUUCCUAGACUGGUAGAUCCUCGACUGGUACAUGUCCAAAAAAUCUUUUCACUGCUUACAUACCCAUGUAUACAUACCCAUAUAAUCACCGAUACAUUAUAUAUACAUAUGUACAAAAAUAUAUAUAUAUAUAUAUAGAUAGUCCGUCUCGAGCAGCCACUCCGCCUUUUUCUCUUUCCAGAGAGAAGCAGCUUCGGCACCAGACCACGGUGGCAACACAGAGGCGACGUCGGCGUCGGCGUCGGCGGCAUCUCUCGAGGAAGGGCAUUGUUUUAUUCCGACCGCGUAGCAGACACUCCUCAUCCCCCUUCCUCCUCCGCCCUGACUGCCACUCUCGACAAUUUACCCCCGUCUCGACCCUCUCCCUCUUCGGUUUUCCACUCUCUCCUCCAAUUCCAUCGCCCCCUCCCCCUCUCCACCUUAGCCUCCACCCUACCGAUAACGCCAUAGCUUAAUGACGCCGUGCUCGCCUCAAUAUCGCAUUGCGUAUAACCCCCUACAAACCUACCAAACGACGGCUCUCGAUGCGUUUUCUUUUCCUUCUUACCCACUUCGCCUGUCUCUUCUUUCCCUCUCACCUCUUAGUCGAGCCUCUCUAGUCUAGCUUCUCUCUGUCUCUCUCUCUCCCUCCCUUUCUCUCUUCGAUUUUUUUCUUCGCUUUAUACAUUCGCUUGAUACCCGGCAAAUAUUUCGGCAGAGCCAGGUUUAAUAUGUGGAAAAGCUAGACCGGAUAUAGCAACGGCUUAUUGCCAGUUGUUAUUUUCGGGUCGGGUUUAUAACGACCGAUCGCCGAAAGGAUAGACAUUGGGGGGAGGGGGAGGACGCGCGUAUUAAGGAUCGGGGAAUACAGAUGGCGCUACGCUAGGUUGGAGCAGAGUUAAUUCGAGUUGAGCAGAGAGAUUGGAAUUUAGGCGAUGCUUUCUUAUUUUUACAGCGACCGUACGAAUAAUUGAUUGAUAUUCUUGCCUUUUGAGAAUAGUGCAGAAAUGGAUCGUAUAUGGAAAAUUCCCUUUCGUGGUAUAAAUUUUACAAUAUUGAAAUAUCUCUUAAGACUGGUAAUUAUUUAUUUAAUUAUUAUUUAAUUUAAAUUAACGCUAUUUACUUGUACAUAUUAAAAUGUAUACAAGUAGUAAGAAAAUCAAGAAAAUUCAGAUAUUAAAAAUAUCUUCUUCUCCAAAAAUUCUCUCCUUCAAAAUUUAUUUCAUUAUCAAAUAAAAAAGAAGGACACCCCGUAGAUAGUUAUGAAUCGUCUGGCGCCGAGAUUAGGAUGCAAAACUUCAAGGGGUACAUCGUCCCCCAUCGGAGCGGACUGUCAAUUUGUCUCGCGUGACAAAUCCCUCUUUCCAUACCGGCCGAUGAGGCACCGAUUCCCAGAUACACGAAAAAAAAAUGAAAAAAAUAAAAAAAAAUGAAAAAAAAGAAAAAAAGAAUGGGGGGGAAAAAAACCAGGGAAAAUUCACGGAAGGCGAACGGCACGCUAAUUCGUGUUAUCGCCAAUCCGGUAGCAUCUGGGCGUAGUCGGCUCAACGGCGGACACGACAUUUCAAUCCGCAAGCAGUGAAAGCGGUUUACCGCUUUUUUCGCCGGCGCGUAUACACGAGUUCCGCGUGGAUACGCUCGUAAAACGGUUAUUCCCGAGUGAGCAGGUGGCGAUGAUGGCGACAGGGGUUGGGAAGAGGGCUCUCGAAACGGAUGCAAGCGGAUCGGGUCACGGAACAAACGAUGUUCCUCUGUAUCCUAGCAAAAUCGGCCGGCAAGAAGCUUUCUACUCGCUUUCUACCGCGCUGAUGGACCGUUUCCUCCCCUCCCUUAACUGUUCACACUUCGUUGGCCAGUUGUUGUGCAGAAAAAUUCCUAUGCUCCGUUCUUAUUUAUUCUAAUCGAUAUUAUAAGUGGUAAGGGAAAACGGAUAUGUUUAUGAUGUUUCAUAUAUAGGGAUUAUGAUUUGUGGUGAUGAGGAUGAGUCACGUAACGUGAUCGUUUGAAAUGUGUUCUAUGAGUUAUUUGUUGUACGAAAAGAUGGUUUUUAUACGAAAGUUGCACGAAAUAAAGAUAUGUAGAGAUAUGUGGCAUAAAUGUUCUCUUUUUCUUAUGAAUGAAAAUUUAUUUGUGAACGGUAUUGAUAUGCGAUUAAGGAAAGUUGAUGGAUGUUGAAGAACCAAUAAUGUGAUCGUUUGAAAUUGUUCGUUGAAUUAUUUGUUAUUUGAAAAAGUAUUAAUCUAUUUGUUGUUAACGAUGAAUUAGUUUAAGAAAUAUUUUAAUGCGAAGGAAAAAUGAGAAAUUUAAUACAAAAGUUUACAAUGAUAUAUAAUCGAAAUAACAAUAUAUCGAAAUACACAUAAAUUUCAUUAUACAUGUAAGAAAAGCAUUAUAUUUCCUCUUUCAUUCUGUUGCAUAUUAUAAGAUUAUGAAAUUCAAGUUAAAAUAUUUUUUAAACAAAUAAUCUUUUCCAUAUAUAAAUUAUAUUAUAAAGAAUAACAAUAUCGAUUAAUAUAUUUAAAUAAUAUAUAUAUUUAAAAAAAAGACAAAAUUAUAUCUUUGAAGAAAAGUUGUCUCUAAAGAAAUCGUUCAAUUUUUAUAUUUUUUGAAAUAAUUUACGAAUAAUGGAUAAUAAACUAAUUUAAAAUAAUCAUUUUCUAUAAUUCUAUUUAUAAUUUGAAUUAUAACUAUAAUUAUGUUAAAAGAUUCAUCUGUUGAAAUAAUUGAUAUUACGAUUCAUGAAUUAUUUUUUUUCUUUAAUCACCCAUUGUGAUUCACAUCUAAAUCGUUUCUUAAUUUUUUCAAGUAAUAGGAAGAAUUUGUUUCGCGCUAAUCCAAAUGAAUUUGAUGAAUAGUCAUUUAUCAAUAUUUUUGACCUAAUUAAUUCUCUUUGUUGAUGGUCCGAUCGUAGAAAAGGAGAUGAAGAGUCGUUGAAAAGCGCGAGAAAAUUGAUACACAGCUUUCUCUUUGUGCGCAAAUCCGAAGACCUUACCAUGACUAACGCUUGCAAAUUGCAUCAAGAGCCAAAUUCUCGCAAAGCAAACACGUUUCUCUGUUAUAUUGAUGGCGAGAAAAAAAUGGAAUGGAAUCCCGUAUCUACUAUUGUCUGCAUACAAUAUCUGUAUAGUUUAAACAGUAAAAACUAUGCAUGAAUGAUUUCACGUUAACGUCGUAUGAAAUUUGAUCAGAAUGAAUUAAUUCUGUUAUAGAAAAUAAAAAUAGAAUUUAUCUUAAAUUUUGAAUUUAAUUUAUAUAUUUAUACAUAAAAAAUAUGGAAUAUUCAAUUAUAUAUUCGAUAAAAUAUCUUAGGA
Long non-coding RNA from Apis cerana (Asiatic honeybee), 4866 nucleotides. RefSeq lists it as uncharacterized. The record is from RefSeq and is a predicted model, not a curated record. Lineage: Eukaryota; Metazoa; Arthropoda; Insecta; Hymenoptera; Apidae.